RNAcentral lists this ribosomal RNA (301 nucleotides) under uncultured bacterium. RNAcentral's name for it is "partial 16S ribosomal RNA". It matches the Rfam family "Bacterial small subunit ribosomal RNA", at positions 509 to 807 of the family's 1533-position model. The record is from RNAcentral.
CAGUAGCCGCGGUAAUACGAAGGGGGCUAGCGUUGUUCGGAAUUACUGGGCGUAAAGGGCGCGUAGGCGGUGCUCUAAGUCUGUCGUGAAAUCUCUCGGCUUAACUGGGAGGGUGCGGCGGAAACUGGAAUGCUCGAGUAUGGGAGAGGUAAGCGGAAUUCCUGGUGUAGCGGUGAAAUGCGUAGAUAUCAGGAGGAACACCUGUGGUGUAGACAGCUUACUGGACCAUGACUGACGCUGAGGCACGAAAGCGUGGGUAGCAAACAGGAUUAGAUACCCCAGUAGUCCCUGUCUCUUAUAC